This is a long non-coding RNA of Prosopis cineraria, 2574 nucleotides long. RefSeq lists it as uncharacterized. Lineage: Eukaryota; Viridiplantae; Streptophyta; Magnoliopsida; Fabales; Fabaceae. The record is from RefSeq and is a predicted model, not a curated record. The transcript is spliced from 3 exons.
UAACCCACAGCCCCGACUCAUCUCUCUUUGUACGCUUUCCUCAAACCCUUGGUGUUCUUCCUCUUCUCUCAAAUCAAUGUUCUCAAGCAAUUAGUCUCAAACACUCUGCCACUAUACUGCCAUGUCCUUCCUCGCCAUCGAACUCUAUCAUGCCUCAUAUUUCACCUUCAAUCUUUGUUGAUCUUUGAUUCAGUCUUUCUCAUGGACGAGUGAGCUUCUUAUGGUGCUAGCCCUCGAUUAGCGUCUUUUCCCAACAAGAAAAUGUUCGAUUAUAAAACCCAGGUCAUUGAUCUGAUUUUACUUAUAACUAGCUUUCAAUUACAAAAUGUUUGAUUUUCAAGAUGAAUAGAUUUCUCAGUCUCUUAAUGAUCCAUAAAAUAUUCAUCCUCGUUAAUGUGGAUUUAGUUUGAAAACCAAGAACGAAUGCUUUAUUCAGAAUAUAUGAAUAUAGAUCCCUUGUAGCCAAUUAAAUUAAUUAAUAUUUUUUCUUAUGCUCGAUAAAUAAAUUGGAGUAUAUAUAUCCAAACAUGGAUGAGUAGGCCCAGUGAAGGGUUGGAGGUUUGUCUUUGGCCCCUUUUGAAUAGGUCUUGAUAUUGUUGAUGGCUGUAUUCUGAUGACAAGGGCGGUGCCUCCACUUUUGCCUUUUGAUGCAAAUAUAUUAUUAAAGUGAUUUUUACUUGUAUGUUCGUUAUGCUGGUAUUUUACUGUCAAAUAUGUCAUUAGUUUUUCCUGAUUUAUGGUUUUAUCCCCUGUUAUAGAUUGAAGAGGUUAAAGUUGGCGUAUGAUAAUUAGGAGAAAGCAUCUUGCCAUGCUGUGUAAUUGCUUUUAAAUUAGUUCGUUGGUGAAGAGGGUUACAUGACAAUGACACCCAUGUAUUCCUUCUAAAAGUAUAUUGUUAUGUAAUUAUAAUAAGUAAGAAAAUAAUCCAGAAUUAAUUAGGAUUUAAAUAUACUUAGAUAUGAUUUAUGAUUGGGUUUAGAUAGGAUUUGAUAUUUAAUUAUAUUAGGAUUUGAAAAAGUUUAGGUUUAGAUUGGAUUUGAUAUUUAAUUAUACUGUUAGGAUUUGGAUAAGAUUUGGUUUAUUAGAUAGGAUUUAAUAUUUAUUUAUAUUAGUAGGAUUUGGAUAGAUUAGGAUAUAUAUUCAUAUAAGAAUAAUGCUUAUAAAUAAGAGGCAUUAGACUAACUAUAAUGUCAUACUUGAUUUAUUGAAUUCAUAUUCAGUUUUUAUUUCUCCAUUUCUUUUCUCUCUUCAUAUUCAGACUUGAUAACUGGUGCACAAUUAAUGGAUGACAGGAAAUAGCUGGUAUGUGGCCUUGCUAUAUUUGCUUGUUUAAUUCACUGCUUUCUUAUUCUCAUGACAUGAUGAAUCUUUUCUAACUUUCAUUUCACGGUAAAUUACUCAAUUACUCCUUGCUAAGGGAACUAACAAUCACGUUUUUUAUGGAAUGCGAAUCACUAGUCAAUGGUUCAUUGAUCAAUAAUAUAAAGAAAAAAAUAAAAUAGUUUUCAUCUGUACUAUUGUUCUUUGGGCUGUAAUUAAUUAUGUUGUAAUUGAAAAAUCUGUGCACAACUAUUCUUUCUUUGCAGCUGGAUUUUCUGGGACUUUCCCUUUUCAAUGUUCUGGUGUUUGGUUUUGGGUUAAAACUGCUGAGAUGAUAUUUUGAGUGGGGCUACUUGGCAGGAACUAUUCAUUAUGUUGUGAAUGGAUUGAGAAGUUGAUCUUGAUAUUGGGUUUUUGAUUUUUUGUUUUUGGAUGCUGGGAUGAACUUUUGAGCUAUAAUGCUAGCGUUAAGUCUUAAGAGAGAAAGAGUGUUACUCAAGUUGAAAACUUCUUCCAUGUGUCUCUACCUGACAUACUUAUAUAUAUAUAUAUAUAUAUAAUUUUUUUUUAUGAUUGACUUGGUCUACCUGAAAAAUCUCUUGCUAUUUUGAUUUUGAUGCCUCAUUAUUUAAUUUACCACCUUUAAAACGUAGGGAAUUCCUGGCAUAUGUUUCCCUGUUAAGAUAUGCAUCUAAAAGCAUCAAAGCAACAUGCGAAUGGGAUAGGUCAAGGGGGAGUUCGUUUGGCAGCCACACUUAAUCGCGUUUUUAGGUGAAAUAGUAUGUCAUGAGCUAUCACUCUCAUCCACUUCAUGCUUCAAACUGAGAAUGAAAGGGAUUUACUUCCAUUAACUCAUGAGGACCAUGGACACUGACUGCAACAUGACAAGUUUUAAAUCUACAAGGUAACUAGGGAUGAAAAAAGUUCAGUGCCAGAGUCAUUUAUAGGAACCCCCUUAGAUGGAACUUUAAUGGAUGAUGUUUAUCAUGAUGCCAGAAAGUUUUUAAUUUGUUAUGUUGUUUCUCUUGCUUGCGUGUGUGCCUGUGGCAAUGAAUGAGCUGCGUCCUUGGGCCCCUCUAAGCUUGAAAGGUUAGCUGAGAUGAGCUGCUUGCUCUUAGUAGGUCUUGUUUCUGACUCUCGGUUGUAUAUAAAAUAAUAUUUCAAACGUGUGUAUAAAAAAACACAAUGAAAUAGGAAUGUAAUGCAUAACCCGAAAUACAUUAGUCAAUAUAAUUUGUAUUUAUUUUCUUUAAA